GCUUCCUCAGGAGCAUUGGAGUAAUGGGAUCUGUUUGAUGCAGAGAAGAUAAGCAUGAUCCCUGGGCAAGGAUGACACGAGAGGUUGUGAAAUGUUCCAUGUUUUU
Molecule: small nuclear RNA, 106 nt
Filed under: Moschus moschiferus (Siberian musk deer)
Lineage: Eukaryota; Metazoa; Chordata; Mammalia; Artiodactyla; Moschidae
Source: RNAcentral